Molecule: non-coding RNA, 42 nt
Filed under: Schistosoma curassoni
Lineage: Eukaryota; Metazoa; Platyhelminthes; Trematoda; Strigeidida; Schistosomatidae
Source: RNAcentral
UUCCAGCUGAGUCUCAAAUAGGACUAAACGCGCGUUCUGGAU